CAACUUUUAACAAUGGAUCUCUUGGUUCUGGCAUCGAUGAAGAACGCAGCGAAACGCGAUAGGUAUUGUGAAUUGCAGAAUUUAGUGAAUCAUCGAAUCUUUGAACGCACAUUGCGCCCUCUGGUACUCCGGAGGGCAUGCCUGUCCGAGCGUCAUUU
This 158-nucleotide ribosomal RNA is filed under the name Caliciopsis maxima. RNAcentral describes it as "5.8S ribosomal RNA". It matches the Rfam family "5.8S ribosomal RNA". Rfam says of the family: 5.8S ribosomal RNA (5.8S rRNA) is a component of the large subunit of the eukaryotic ribosome. It is transcribed by RNA polymerase I as part of the 45S precursor that also contains 18S and 28S rRNA. The record is from RNAcentral. Lineage: Eukaryota; Fungi; Ascomycota; Eurotiomycetes; Coryneliales; Coryneliaceae.